CCUACGGGGGGCAGCAGUGAGGAAUAUUGGUCAAUGGACGAGAGUCUGAACCAGCCAAGUAGCGUGAAGGAUGACUGCUCUAUGGGUUGUAAACUUCUUUUAUAUGGGAAUAAAAUGUUCCACGUGUGGGAUUUUGUAUGUACCAUAUGAAUAAGGAUCGGCUAACUCCGUGCCAGCAGCCGCGGUAAUACGGAGGAUCCGAGCGUUAUCCGGAUUUAUUGGGUUUAAAGGGAGCGUAGGUGGAUUGUUAAGUCAGUUGUGAAAGUUUGCGGCUCAACCGUAGAAUUGCAGUUGAAACUGGGAGUCUUGAGUAUAGUAGAGGUGGGCGGAAUUCGUGGUGUAGCGGUGAAAUGCUUAGAUAUCACGAAGAACUCCGAUUGCGAAGGCAGCUCACUAGGCUGCAACUGACACUGAGGCUCGAAAGUGUGGGUAUCAAACAGGAUUAGAUACCCUAGUAGUC
This 460-nucleotide ribosomal RNA is filed under the name uncultured bacterium. RNAcentral's name for it is "partial 16S ribosomal RNA". It matches the Rfam family "Bacterial small subunit ribosomal RNA", at positions 338 to 795 of the family's 1533-position model. The record is from RNAcentral.